This 1086-nucleotide long non-coding RNA is filed under the name Piliocolobus tephrosceles (Ugandan red Colobus). RNAcentral's name for it is "lncRNA (ENSPTEG00000005996.1)". The record is from RNAcentral. Lineage: Eukaryota; Metazoa; Chordata; Mammalia; Primates; Cercopithecidae.
CUUGAACCCGGGAGGCAGAGGUUGCAGUGAGCAGAGAUGGUGCCAUUGCAUUCCAGCCUAGGUGACAAGAGCGAGACUUGGUCUCAAAAACAAAACAAAACAAACAAAAACAUAAAAAAGACUAUGGGACAAUGAUAUUUAUUUGGACACAGGUCUCCAAAUCUACCUCUUCAAAAGAAACGGACACUGUAACAGCCUUGGUGUAACAGCCUUGGUUAAAGACUUAAGGCGUCCCCAACUAAGAGUGGGGCCAUCUCUAAGUUGGCCCCAGUGCCAUCUGCAGACAUUUCUGUCAUCCUCCCAUCCUUGGGGGCUUCUUUCUCCAGCUCCAGUGUGUGCGCAGUAAAGCUUGCAGCUGUACAGCCUCCAAGAAGCAAACCCAGGUCCCACACAGCCACAGUUGUACAGUGACGCCCUUCCCCGUCCCCUUGUUUGAGCUAUGCCCAAGGGACCAGUCUGGACUGCUAUGCCAUCUCACUCCCAACCCAAGCUCCGCCAAACCAUCCCUAUCAUGUGCAGAUUUGGAUGCUAGACCUGCAAGUGAGAGAGUGAGCGGCUCCUUGAAGAUAUUGGCAGUUCAUGGAGAGUUAGCAUGUGUGGAGUUUGGGCUCCAGUGCCUUGUUUUCUAAAGAUGGUGUUUGGUAUAGUUUGGAUACUUGUCCCUGCCCAAAUCUCAUGUUGAAAUGUAAUCCCCAGUGGUGAGGGUGGGGCCUGGUGGGAGGUGACUGGAUCAUAGGGGUGGAGUUCUCAUGAAUGAUUUAGCACUAUCCCCUUGGUGCUGUCCUUGCCAUAGGGAGUGAGUCUUCCUGAGAUCCGGUUGUUUAAAAGGAUAUGGCUCCUCCUCACUCUGUCUCUUGCUCUUGCUCCUGUUCCUUUCAUGUGAUGUGCCUGCUCCCCCUUCACCUUUUGCCAUAAUUGUAAGUUUCCUGAGACCUCCACAGAAGUUGAGCAGAUGCCAGCAUCAUGCUUCCUGUACAGCCUGCAGAACCAUGAGCCAAUUAAACCUCUUUUCUGUAUAAAUUACCCAGUCUCAGGUAUUUCUUUAUAGCAAGGCAAGAACAGCCCAACGCAGUGUGCUAGCACUGU